GGAAUAUUGGACAAUGGGCGAAAGCCUGAUCCAGCAAUGCCGCGUGUGUGAAGAAGGCCUGCGGGUUGUAAAGCACUUUUGCGGGGGAAGCGGGGCCGGGGCGCUAAUACCGCCUUGGUUUGACGGUACCCUGCGAAUAAGCCCCGGCCAACUCCGUGCCAGCAGCCGCGGUAAUACGGAGGGGGCGAGCGUUAAUCGGAAUUACUGGGCGUAAAGCGCGCGUAGGCGGCCGACCAAGUCCGAUGUGAAAGCCCCGGGCUCAACCCGGGAACGGCGUUGGAGACUGGUCGGCUGGAGUGCGACAGAGGGUGGUGGAAUUCCCGGUGUAGCGGUGAAAUGCGUAGAGAUCGGGAGGAACAUCGAUGGCGAAGGCAACCGCCUGGGUCGACACUGACGCUGAGGUGCGAAAGCGUGGGGAGCAAAC
Molecule: ribosomal RNA, 424 nt
Filed under: uncultured bacterium
Lineage: Bacteria
Description: bacterial SSU rRNA
Rfam family: Bacterial small subunit ribosomal RNA
Source: RNAcentral